Molecule: ribosomal RNA, 393 nt
Filed under: uncultured bacterium
Lineage: Bacteria
Description: partial 16S ribosomal RNA
Rfam family: Bacterial small subunit ribosomal RNA
Source: RNAcentral
AUACGGAAGGUCCGGGCGUUAUCCGGAUUUAUUGGGUGUAAAGGGAGCGCAGGCGGAGAUGCAAGCGUGACGUCAAAUUUCGGGGCUCAACCCCGUCUCGCGUCGCGAACUGCGUCCCUUGGUUGCGGGAAGGGGAGGCGGAACUCGUGGUGGAGCGGGGAAAUGCAUAGAUAUCACGAAGAACUCCGAUCGCGAAGGCAGCCUUCCGGCCCGUCAACGACGCUCAUGCUCGAAGGUGCGGGUAUCAAACAGGAUUAGAUACCCUGGUAGUCCGCACAGUAAACGAUGGACACCCGCGGUUUGGCCUAUAUGGCUGAGCCGCCAAGCGAAAGCGUUAAGUGUCCCACCUGGGGAGUACGCCGGCAACGGUGAAACUCAAAGGAAUUGACGGGG